UUCUAUUUCAUUAUAUAUUGUUAUUUCUCUAUUUCUACGGAUUCUAUCUAAGAUAAAUGAGUGAGAAGAUUGAAGUUUAUUUUAAUGCCACUGAAAAAGCAAGUCGUCUCCUAUGGUGUUUUAUCUGUUAAGUUAUCAUCUUGGAGACUUGUAGUUAAUUAAGGAACAUUAGAAAACACCAGAUGCCAUUAAAUUAAGGAGCAUCUGUUGUAUCACUCCUCAUUUGCUCAAUUGAGUAGAAGUAUACUUAUGGUCCUAAAGAAAGCAUGGAAGUGCCUUUUUUCCAUUGGGAAUAAAAAGACAGUGUGCUGUUGCUGUAGAAAAGAUUCAUGACAGUGAACUGAUUGUCUAACAAACAAAUGAGAGGGAAAAUUGCAGUUAAUUUUGAUGCUGCAGAAACAACCGAUGCUUUUGACAUCUUCGCCUUGCAACAUUAUGCAGUUAAUUUUGGCCCUGAGAAUGGGAGGCAAUUGGAAAUUAAUUUGGAAGCCACUGAAACAACAUACUGUAUGCAGUGGUAUCAUUCCUAGAUUUGGUUUGCUCAAUACACUGAUGAACUUUAGAACGCUACUUUUUACUAAGGUGAGAGAACAUUACAUAAUCAAUUUAAGUUAGAUUCCUGACCGUUACUAUUAAAUUAUGUAGUUUUUUUUUUCACGGUGGCGGU
This 667-nucleotide long non-coding RNA is filed under the name Agrilus planipennis (emerald ash borer). RNAcentral describes it as "uncharacterized LOC112906757". The record is from RNAcentral. Lineage: Eukaryota; Metazoa; Arthropoda; Insecta; Coleoptera; Buprestidae.